GCUCGGGUGGCGGAACUGGCAGACGCGCUAGGUUGAGGGCCUAGUGGGGCAACCCGUGGGGGUUCGACUCCCCCCUCGAGCACCA
This 85-nucleotide transfer RNA is filed under the name Lentisphaerae bacterium RIFOXYA12_64_32. Its description in RNAcentral is "tRNA-Leu". It matches the Rfam family "tRNA". Rfam says of the family: Transfer RNA (tRNA) molecules are approximately 80 nucleotides in length. Their secondary structure includes four short double-helical elements and three loops (D, anti-codon, and T loops). The record is from RNAcentral. RNAcentral also lists the same sequence under 1 other name. Lineage: Bacteria; Pseudomonadati; Lentisphaerota.